UACGAAGGGGGCUAGCGUUGUUCGGAUUUACUGGGCGUAAAGCGCACGUAGGCGGGUUCUUAAGUCAGGGGUGAAAUCCUGGAGCUCAACUCCAGAACUGCCUUUGAUACUGGGAAUCUCGAGUCCGGGAGAGGUGAGUGGAACUGCGAGUGUAGAGGUGAAAUUCGUAGAUAUUCGCAAGAACACCAGUGGCGAAGGCGGCUCACUGGCCCGGUACUGACGCUGAGGUGCGAAAGCGUGGGGAGCAAACAGG
RNAcentral lists this ribosomal RNA (253 nucleotides) under uncultured bacterium. RNAcentral describes it as "partial 16S ribosomal RNA". It matches the Rfam family "Bacterial small subunit ribosomal RNA", at positions 524 to 776 of the family's 1533-position model. The record is from RNAcentral.